UACGGAGGGUGCUAGCGUUGUUCGGAAUCACUGGGCGUAAAGGGCUCGUAGGCGGCCAACUAAGUCAGACGUGAAAUCCCUCGGCUUAACCGGGGAACUGCGUCUGAUACUGGAUGGCUUGAGAUUGGGAGAGGGAUGCGGAAUUCCAGGUGUAGCGGUGAAAUGCGUAGAUAUCUGGAGGAACACCGGUGGCGAAGGCGGCAUCCUGGGCCAACACUGACGCUGAGGAGCGAAAGCCAGGGGAGCAAACGGG
RNAcentral lists this ribosomal RNA (253 nucleotides) under uncultured bacterium. RNAcentral describes it as "partial 16S ribosomal RNA". It matches the Rfam family "Bacterial small subunit ribosomal RNA", at positions 524 to 776 of the family's 1533-position model. The record is from RNAcentral.